Bolinopsis microptera is the source of this 74-nucleotide non-coding RNA. Lineage: Eukaryota; Metazoa; Ctenophora; Tentaculata; Lobata; Bolinopsidae. The record is from the annotation of a RefSeq genome assembly.
GGCCGUGUAGCUCAGCUGGUUAGAGCGUCGUGCUAAUAACGCGAAUGUCCAGGGUUCGAUCCCCUGCAUGGCCA